RNAcentral lists this ribosomal RNA (490 nucleotides) under uncultured bacterium. RNAcentral describes it as "partial 16S ribosomal RNA". It matches the Rfam family "Bacterial small subunit ribosomal RNA", at positions 30 to 507 of the family's 1533-position model. The record is from RNAcentral.
AUUGAACGCUGGCGGCAGGCCUAACACAUGCAAGUCGAACGGUAACAGGAAGCAGCUUGCUGCUUCGCUGACGAGUGGCGGACGGGUGAGUAAUGUCUGGGAAGCUGCCUGAUGGAGGGGGAUAACUACUGGAAACGGUAGCUAAUACCGCAUAAUGUCGCAAGACCAAAGAGGGGGACCUUCGGGCCUCUUGCCAUCGUAUGUGCCCGGAUGGGAUUCGCUUGUUGGUGGGGUAACGGCUCACCAAGGCUACGAUCCCUAGCUCGUGUGAGAGGAUGACCAGCCACAGUGGAACUGAGACGCGGUCCAGACUCCUGAGGGAGGCAGCAGUGGGGAAUAUUGCACAAUGGGCGCAAGCCUGAUGCAGCCGUGCCGCGUGUAUGAAGAAGGCCUUCGGGUUGUAAAGUACUUUCAGCGGGGAGGAAGGGAGUAAAGUUAAUACCUUUGCUCAUUGACGUUACCCGCAGAAGAAGCACCGGCUAACUCCGUG